AUACGUAGGGUGCGAGCGUUGUCCGGAAUUACCGGGCGUAAAGAGCUCGUAGGUGGUUUGUCGCGUCGUCUGUGAAAUUCCGGGGCUUAACUCCGGGCGUGCAGGCGAUACGGGCAUAACUUGAGUACUGUAGGGGAGACUGGAAUUCCUGGUGUAGCGGUGAAAUGCGCAGAUAUCAGGAGGAACACCGGUGGCGAAGGCGGGUCUCUGGGCAGUAACUGACGCUGAGGAGCGAAAGCAUGGGUAGCGAACAGGAUUAGAUACCCUGGUAGUCCAUGCCGUAAACGGUGGGCGCUAGGUGUAGGGGUCUUCCACGACUUCUGUGCCGUAGCUAACGCAUUAAGCGCCCCGCCUGGGGAGUACGGCCGCAAGGCUAAAACUCAAAUGAAUUGACGGGG
Molecule: ribosomal RNA, 398 nt
Filed under: uncultured bacterium
Lineage: Bacteria
Description: partial 16S ribosomal RNA
Rfam family: Bacterial small subunit ribosomal RNA
Source: RNAcentral